GACGAACGCUGGCGGCGUGCCUAAUACAUGCAAGUCGAACGAGAGCGACCGGUGUUUGCACUGGUCAAUCUAGUGGCGAACGGGUGAGUAACACGUGGGUAACCUGCUCAUCAGAGGGGGAUAACAUCCGGAAACGGAUGCUAAAACCGCAUAGGUCUUCGAGCCGCAUGGCUUGAAGAGGAAAAGAGGCGCAAGCUUCUGCUGAUGGAUGGACCCGCGGUGCAUUAGCUAGUUGGUGAGGUAACGGCCCACCAAGGCCGUGAUGCAUAGCCGACCUGAGAGGGUGAUCGGCCACAUUAAGACUGAGACACGGCCCAAACUCCUACGGGAGGCAGCAGUAGGGAAUCUUCCGCAAUAGGCGCGAGUCUGACAGAGCAACGCCGCGUGAGUGAAGAAGGUUUUCGGAUCGUAAGACUCUGUUGUUAACGAAGAACAAGUGCUAGAGUAACUGUUAGCGCCUUGACGGUAUCUAACCAGAAAGCCACGGCUAACUACGUG
RNAcentral lists this ribosomal RNA (498 nucleotides) under uncultured bacterium. RNAcentral describes it as "partial 16S ribosomal RNA". It matches the Rfam family "Bacterial small subunit ribosomal RNA", at positions 28 to 507 of the family's 1533-position model. The record is from RNAcentral.